AAAUUUCCAUGGCAAACUGCUCAGUAACACAUGAUCAACUUACCCUAUAGAGAAAAAUAACCUCGGGAAACUGAGGAUAAUGUUUCAUAAUUGAAAAGGCUUGGAAAAGUUUCCAAUUAAAGGAGUAAAGAAAAUGGUAUUUACUUGCUAUAGGAUAGGAUCGUGGUCGAUUAUGGUAGUUGGUGAGGUAACGGCUCACCAAGCCGAUAAUCGAUAGGGGCCGUGAGAGCGGGAGCCCCGAGAUGGGUACUGAGACAACGACCCAGGCCUUACAAGGCGCAACAGGUACGAAACCUCCGCAAUACACGAAAGUGUGACGGGGUUACCCAAAGUGUCCUUAUUGGACUGUGGUAGGUGAGUAAUGUCCCCUACUAGAAAGGAGAGGGCAAGGCUGGUGCCAGCCGCCGCGGUAAAACCAGCUCUUCAAGUGGUCGGGAUAAUUAUUGGGCUUAAAGUGUCCGUAGCCGGUUUAGUAAGUUCCUGGUAAAAUCGGGUAGCUUAACUAUCUGUAUGCUAGGAAUACUGCUAAUACUAGAGGGCGGGAGAGGUCUGAGGUACUACAGGGUAGGGGUGAAAUCUUAUAAUCCUUGUAGGACCACCAGUGGCGAAGGCGUCAGACUGGAACGCGCCUGACGGUGAGGGACGAAAGCCAGGGGAGCGAACCGGAUUAGAUACCCGGGUAGUCCUGGCCGUAAACGAUGCAUACUAGGUGAUGGCACGGCCAUGAGCCGUGUCAGUGCCGUAGGGAAACCGUUAAGUGUGCCGCCUGGGAAGUACGGUCGCAAGGCUAAAACUUAAAGGAAUUGGCGGGGGAGCACCACAAGGGGUGAAGCCUGCGGUUUAAUUGGACUCAACGCCGGGAAACUUACCAGGGGAGACAGCAGUAUGACGGUCAGGUUGACGACCUUACCCGACGAGCUGAGAGGAGGUGCAUGGCCGUCGCCAGUUCGUGCUGUGAGGUAUCCUGUUAAGUCAGGCAACGAACGAGAUCCGCGCCUUUAUUUGCCAUCAAGAAGUUACGACUUCGUUGGGAACUCUAAAGGGACCGCUGUCGCUAAGACGGAGGAAGGAGCGGGCAAAGGCAGGUCAGUAUGCCCCGAAACCCCUGGGCUACACGCGGGCUGCAAUGGUAUGAACAAUGGGCUGUAACUCCGAAAGGAGAAACCAAUCCCGAAAUCAUAUCUCAGUUGGAUUGUCGGCUGAACCCGCUGACAUGA
RNAcentral lists this ribosomal RNA (1217 nucleotides) under uncultured crenarchaeote. Its description in RNAcentral is "bacterial SSU rRNA". It matches the Rfam family "Archaeal small subunit ribosomal RNA", at positions 70 to 1279 of the family's 1478-position model. The record is from RNAcentral. Lineage: Archaea; Thermoproteati; Thermoproteota.